CAGCCGCCGCGGGAAUACGUAGGUGGCAAGCGUUGUCCGGAAUUAUUGGGCGUAAAGGGCUCGCAGGCGGUUUCUUAAGUCUGAUGUGAAAGCCCCCGGCUCAACCGGGGAGGGUCAUUGGAAACUGGGAAACUUGAGUGCAGAAGAGGAGAGUGGAAUUCCACGUGUAGCGGUGAAAUGCGUAGAGAUGUGGAGGAACACUAGUGGCGAAGGCGACUCUCUGGUCUGUAACUGACGCUGAGGAGCGAAAGCGUGGGGAGCGAACAGGAUUAGAUACCCCCGUAGUCCCUGUCUCUUAUAC
RNAcentral lists this ribosomal RNA (301 nucleotides) under uncultured bacterium. RNAcentral describes it as "partial 16S ribosomal RNA". It matches the Rfam family "Bacterial small subunit ribosomal RNA", at positions 509 to 807 of the family's 1533-position model. The record is from RNAcentral.